This 128-nucleotide small RNA is filed under the name Mahella australiensis. Its description in RNAcentral is "c-di-AMP sequence". It matches the Rfam family "c-di-AMP riboswitch aptamer (ydaO/yuaA leader)". From Rfam's summary of the family: This family represents a conserved RNA structure found upstream of the ydaO and yuaA genes in Bacillus subtilis and related genes in other bacteria. The ydaO/yuaA element is thought to act as a genetic "off" switch for the ydaO and yuaA genes in its native state. The record is from RNAcentral. Lineage: Bacteria; Bacillati; Bacillota; Clostridia; Mahellales; Mahellaceae. RNAcentral also lists the same sequence under 1 other name.
AUAUGAAAAACGCUGAAUUCCCGUCAGGGAAACGGGGGAACCAAUUUUUGGGGUGAAUCCGUAAGGUAGGGUUAUCUCUUUCGACCCGAACCCGUCAGCUAACCUCGCAAGCGUAGGAAGAGGGAGCA